GAUGAACGCUGGCGGCGUGCCUAAUACAUGCAAGUAGAACGCUGAAGGAGGAGCUUGCUCUUCUGGAUGAGUUGCGAACGGGUGAGUAACGCGUAGGUAACCUGCCUGGUAGCGGGGGAUAACUAUUGGAAACGAUAGCUAAUACCGCAUGACAACAGUUAUUGCAUGAUAACUGUUUAAAAGGGGCAACUGCUCCACUACCAGAUGGACCCGCGUUGUAUUAGCUAGUUGGUGAGGUAACGGCUCACCAAGGCGACGAUACAUAGCCGACCUGAGAGGGUGAUCGGCCACACUGGGACUGAGACACGGCCCAGACUCCUACGGGAGGCAGCAGUAGGGAAUCUUCGGCAAUGGACGGAAGUCUGACCGAGCAACGCCGCGUGAGUGAAGAAGGUUUUCGGAUCGUAAAGCUCUGUUGUAAGAGAAGAACGAGUGUGAGAGUGGAAAGUUCACACUGUGACGGUAUCUUACCAGAAAGGGACGGCUAACUACGUG
RNAcentral lists this ribosomal RNA (495 nucleotides) under uncultured bacterium. RNAcentral describes it as "partial 16S ribosomal RNA". It matches the Rfam family "Bacterial small subunit ribosomal RNA", at positions 28 to 507 of the family's 1533-position model. The record is from RNAcentral.